AUUGAACGCUGGCGGCAGGCCUAACACAUGCAAGUCGAACGAGUGGCGGACGUGUGAGUAAUGUCUGGGAAACUGCCUGAUGGAGGGUGCUAACUACUGGAAACGGUCGCUAAUACCGCAUACCAUCGGAUGUUCCCCGAUGGGAUUAGCUAGUAGGUGGGGUAACGGCGCACCUAGGCUACGAUCCCUAGCUGGUCUGAGAGGAUGAACAGCCACACUGGAACUGAGACACGGUCCAGACUCCUACGGGAGGCAGCAGUGGGGAAUAUUGCACAAUGGGCGCAGGCCUGAUACAGCCAUGCCGCGUGUAUGAAGAAGGCAUGCGGGGUGUAAAAUACUUUCAGCGGGGAGGCGGUACCCGCAGAAGAAGCACCGGCUAACUCCGUGCCAGCAGCCGCGGUAAUUC
This 406-nucleotide ribosomal RNA is filed under the name uncultured bacterium. RNAcentral's name for it is "partial 16S ribosomal RNA". It matches the Rfam family "Bacterial small subunit ribosomal RNA", at positions 30 to 526 of the family's 1533-position model. The record is from RNAcentral.